Molecule: ribosomal RNA, 468 nt
Filed under: uncultured bacterium
Lineage: Bacteria
Description: partial 16S ribosomal RNA
Rfam family: Bacterial small subunit ribosomal RNA
Source: RNAcentral
GACGAACGCUGGCGGCGGGCUUAACACAUGCAAGUCGAACGGAAAGGCCCUGCUUGUGUGGGGUGCUCGAGUGGCGAACGGGUGAGUAACACGUGAGUAACCUGCCCUUGACUUUGGGAUAACUUCAGGAAACUGGGGCUAAUACCGUAUAGGAGCUCCUGCUGCAUGGUGGGGGGUGGAAAGUUUCGGCGGUUGGGGAUGGACUCGCGGCUUAUCAGCUUGUUGGUCGGGUAGGUGCUUACCAAGGCUGUGACGGGUAGCCGGCCUGAGAGGGUGACCGGGCACCAUGGGACUGCGGUACGGCGCAGAGUCCUACGGGAGGCAGCAGUGGGGAAUAUUGUACAAUGGGAGGAAGCCUGAUGCAGAGACGCCGCGUGCGGGAUGCCGGCCUUCGGGGUGUAAACAGCUUUCGCCUGUGACGAAGCGUGAGUGACGGUAAUGGGUAAAGAAGCACCGGCUAACUACGUG